This 998-nucleotide long non-coding RNA is filed under the name Homo sapiens (human). Its description in RNAcentral is "HSALNT0146164". The record is from RNAcentral. Lineage: Eukaryota; Metazoa; Chordata; Mammalia; Primates; Hominidae.
UAAAAAAGGGUAGUUGUGGUUGGCUCUGCCUUUGCUGUCUUUACCUGAAUAGAGGUCAGGCCCGGGUCCAGGGGAGCGUCCCACGGUCCCUUCAGCAGCAGCAUCUCUAGGGGAAGUGGCCGGCUGCAGGGACUGCACGGUGAGGCAAUCUGUGAGCAGGUCUGGAUGGAGCUCUGUGCUGGACCGCAACUAAGAGGACAAAACGGAAGAGACAUCGAUAAGGAGAGCCGGUCCUUGGAAUAUUUUCCUGGGAAGGCAUCAUGCUCUAUCAGUGCAACUCAGCCCACAAAAAUUUAUCAAGCAGCAACUACGGGUCCUCUGAACGGGCCACACCACGGUUGAGCCAUUGUGACCCCUGCGACACACAGGUCCAGGCCUCCUGGAGUCACAAAGCUUUGAGCAACAGGAGAACCACUAAAGAAGAAGAAACAGCUAGCUCCUGCCUUAACUGAUUAACCGAACUUGCAACAUUCCACCAUUGUGAUAUGUUCCUGCCCUACCCUAAAUAAUCAAUCGGCCUUGUGAUAUCCUGCCAUGUGAACUCCCUCCACCUCGUGACUACGCACCUUGUGACAUUCUUCCCCUGCCCGAAAAGACUGCCCCAACUGUAACCUUCCACUACCUAUCCCAAACCUAUAAAACCAGUUCCACUCCCACCGCCCUUCGCUGACUCCCUUUUCAGACUCAGCCCGCUCGCACCGGAGUGAAUAAACAGCCUUGUUGCUCACACUUAGCCUGUCUGGGUAGUCUCUUCAAUUAGGCACGCGCUUAACACUUUCCAAAUUUUCUACAUUCAAAUGAUGUGCCAAAGCUGGCUCGCACCAAUCUGAGGUGUCAAUUUUGUGCGUCUUUUCCAAACUUUCCAUGCAAUGAUGAUAGACUGAUAGCUUGAAAUCGGUCAUAGUGAAGUAUUUACACCAUGGAAAUUGGCAAUUCUACAAACAGGCUUUUUCCAUCUAAAGAGCUGGUUGCUAUACAUUACCAGCACACCACUGGCA